AAGAUACCAGCAGAGAAGCUUUCCAAGCAAACUACUAAGCAGGGUUAAGCUUCUAAGACUAGCUUGUCUUCAGAUAAGAUUUCCAAGGGAAUUUGGAAAUCAAAUAACAUAGACACUAAAAUACGUGCAAGCUAUUAUGAAAAUAAUCUUUUCUUAUCACACUAGAAGGCAGUAAAUGUUAUACUUACCACUACAGAGAGGCUGGUGUGAUCCUGAGCAAUACAAAUCUACAAACCUUCAGGACGCAAAAAACUAACUGGAAGUUAGUCCUCUAAAAGUCCAGAACAUGUAAAAGAUUGUUAUGUCAGGUCUAAUCAGGAAGAAUUCCACCUGAAAAACGGUUCCUCUGUCAUCUGCUCUUUGCACAGCUGGAGCACUUGGAGGCUGCACCACUUUUUGCCUGGGCUCUGGAAGCCAACAGGGCACUUACCCGAGCUGCUGUCGCUGGGAAUCUGCAGCCCAAGCAAUAAGAGUUCACAGAUUGUUUUGCUGGAAGUGCAGUUUAUCAUAAUUUCAGCAAGUACUAAAUGCGUAUGACCCAUCACCAGUAUUUUCCCUGCAUUUAUUUUUGUCAGGUAGGAGCUGUUCAAAACAAAUUUUAUUGCAUGUUUGA
Long non-coding RNA from Parus major (Great Tit), 613 nucleotides. RefSeq lists it as uncharacterized. Lineage: Eukaryota; Metazoa; Chordata; Aves; Passeriformes; Paridae. The record is from RefSeq and is a predicted model, not a curated record. The transcript has 2 exons.